GAGUUUGAUCGUGGCUCAGAUUGAACGCUGGCGGCAUGCCUUACACAUGCAAGUCGAACGGUAACAGGUCUUCGGAUGCUGACGAGUGGCGAACGGGUGAGUAAUACAUCGGAACGUGCCCGAUCGUGGGGGAUAACGAAGCGAAAGCUUUGCUAAUACCGCAUACGAUCUACGGAUGAAAGCAGGGGACCGCAAGGCCUUGCGCGAACGGAGCGGCCGAUGGCAGAUUAGGUAGUUGGUGGGAUAAAAGCUUACCAAGCCGACGAUCUGUAGCUGGUCUGAGAGGACGACCAGCCACACUGGGACUGAGACACGGCCCAGACUCCUACGGGAGGCAGCAGUGGGGAAUUUUGGACAAUGGGCGAAAGCCUGAUCCAGCCAUGCCGCGUGCAGGAUGAAGGCCUCGGUGUAACGUGC
Molecule: ribosomal RNA, 417 nt
Filed under: uncultured microorganism
Description: bacterial SSU rRNA
Rfam family: Bacterial small subunit ribosomal RNA
Source: RNAcentral